CUAAGAAUAUUCCGCAAUGGACGGAAGUCUGACGGAGCGACGCCGCGUGGAUGAAGAAGGCCGAAAGGUUGUAAAGUUCUUUUGCUGGGGAAGAAUAACCGCAGGAGGGAAUGCCUGUGGGAUGACAAGAACCGGCGAAUAAGCCCCGGCCAACUACGUGCCAGCAGCCGCGGUAACACGUAGGGGGCGAGCGUUGUUCGGAAUUACUGGGCGUAAAGGGCAUGUAGGCGGCUUGGAAAGCCUGGCGUGAAAGUCUGCAGCUUAACUGCAGGGGUGCGCUGGGAACUGCUGAGCUUGAGUGACGGAGAGGGUGCUGGAAUUCCUGGUGUAGGGGUGAAAUCUGUAGAUAUCAGGAAGAACACCGAUGGCGAAGGCAAGCUCCUGGCCGAUGACUGACGCUGAGGUGCGAAAGUGUGGGGAUCAAACA
RNAcentral lists this ribosomal RNA (427 nucleotides) under uncultured bacterium. RNAcentral's name for it is "bacterial SSU rRNA". It matches the Rfam family "Bacterial small subunit ribosomal RNA", at positions 355 to 774 of the family's 1533-position model. The record is from RNAcentral.